UACGUAGGUGACAAGCGUUAUCCGGAUUUAUUGGGCGUAAAGCGCACGCAGGCGGCAGAGAAAGUCUGACGUGAAAUCUCCCGGCUUAACCGGGAGCGGUCGUUGGAAACUACUUGGCUUGAGGCGAGGAGAGGGGUGCGGAAUUCCCGGUGUAGUGGUGGAAUGCGUAGAUAUCGGGAGGAACAUCAGUGGCGAAAGCGGCACCCUGGCCUUAGCCUGACGCUCAGGUGCGAAAGCGUGGGGAGCGAACGGG
This 253-nucleotide ribosomal RNA is filed under the name uncultured bacterium. RNAcentral describes it as "partial 16S ribosomal RNA". It matches the Rfam family "Bacterial small subunit ribosomal RNA", at positions 524 to 776 of the family's 1533-position model. The record is from RNAcentral. RNAcentral also lists the same sequence under 1 other name.